Molecule: non-coding RNA, 814 nt
Organism: Python bivittatus (Burmese python)
Lineage: Eukaryota; Metazoa; Chordata; Lepidosauria; Squamata; Pythonidae
Source: RefSeq, a predicted model, not a curated record
GUUAGAAUCUUGAAUAAAGGGAAUCGUGGAAGCAAGAAGAGAGGAGAAGAUGGGCUUUCAAAACAGGAACGGGUUGCUUUAGUUUUGUUUUUUGUUCUGUUUUUCGCAAGGACCCAGGGGGAGGCCAAAGAUCACCUUAGAAGGAUUAAUAAAGAACGUGCUGAAGAAGUUUGUUGCUCUCUUUGGGAAAGUGGAACUGAAAGCGGCGAGGCUUUGUUGCAAGGAGGAAGCCUUUUGGCAGCCCACCUGCCCCCCCUCCCCCAGCUGCAACGAAGGACCUGAGAGGCGGAAGUCUCAUCCAACGCCGUGAGGACCGCCUUAGAAAUGAAGUCUCCCUAAAACCUGGGACUGGUGAGACAAGCAAGCGUUUGGGGGAGAGAAGAUUGAUGUAUGUACUAAUCUGUUACUAGUAUUUACACCCUGUCCUUCAAGCAACUGUAUUUCCAACAUGCUUUGGCUUCCUUAUUUACAAAAAAUCUGCAAUCAAUUUAGUUUGCACACUUUAAGUCAUUCUAGCCCAAAUUGCUUAGGUAUGUCAGUAAAAUGCAUACAUUCUUCAUUAGCAAGUACAUGUGAAGCUGAAGAGAAAUCAUUGCAUUUCAGUAUUGGUGAAAACUCACAGGAUGGAAUAAACAGUGAAGAUAGUCAACAAUUACAUAAAUCAGUUAUGGUUGAAGAAGUUGUUGAAUUUUUAGCACCUCAAAAAGGACAGGUAAGUUGGAAUUUAUUUUCAAAGUAGACAAGCAUUUUUCAAAAUAUAAACCACAGAUUAUAAUAUAGACAUAAUAUUCUAUUCUGUAACAUAUAUUUGAGG